CCUUCGGUUCGGAAUAACUCAGGGAAACUUGAGCUAAUACCGGAUACGCCCUUUUGGGGAAAGGUUUACUGCCGAAGGAUCGGCCCGCGUCUGAUUAGCUUGUUGGUGGGGUAACGGCCUACCAAGGCGACGAUCAGUAGCUGGUCUGAGAGGAUGAUCAGCCACACUGGGACUGAGACACGGCCCAGACUCCUACGGGAGGCAGCAGUGGGGAAUAUUGGACAAUGGGCGCAAGCCUGAUCCAGCCAUGCCGCGUGAGUGAUGAAGGCCUUAGGGUUGUAAAGCUCUUUUGUCCGGGACGAUAAUGACGGUACCGGAAGAAUAAGCCCCGGCUAACUUCGUGCCAGCAGCCGCGGUAAUACGAAGGGGGCUAGCGUUGCUCGGAAUCACUGGGCGUAAAGGGCGCGUAGGCGGCCGAUUAAGUCGGGGGUGAAAGCCUGUGGCUCAACCACAGAAUUGCCUUC
This 464-nucleotide ribosomal RNA is filed under the name Methylobacterium sp. KM2015-L18. RNAcentral describes it as "bacterial SSU rRNA". It matches the Rfam family "Bacterial small subunit ribosomal RNA", at positions 130 to 628 of the family's 1533-position model. Lineage: Bacteria; Pseudomonadati; Pseudomonadota; Alphaproteobacteria; Hyphomicrobiales; Methylobacteriaceae. The record is from RNAcentral.